RNAcentral lists this ribosomal RNA (274 nucleotides) under uncultured bacterium. Its description in RNAcentral is "partial 16S ribosomal RNA". It matches the Rfam family "Bacterial small subunit ribosomal RNA", at positions 523 to 796 of the family's 1533-position model. The record is from RNAcentral.
AUACAGGGGGUGCGAGCGUUAAUCGGAAUUGCUGGGCGUAAAGAGUACGUAGGCGGUUGCUUAAGUCAGAUGUGAAAGCCCCGGGCUCAACCUGGGAACUGCAUUUGAAACUGAGCGACUAGAGUUUAAGAGAGGGGAGUAGAAUUCCGGGUGUAGCGGUGAAAUGCGUAGAGAUCCGGAGGAAUACCAGUGGCGAAGGCGGCUCCCUGGCUUAAAACUGACGCUGAGGUACGAAAGCGUGGGUAGCAAACAGAAUUAGAUACCCUAGUAGUCC